This 801-nucleotide long non-coding RNA is filed under the name Helianthus annuus (common sunflower). RNAcentral describes it as "sRNA HanXRQr2_Chr05g0218631". Lineage: Eukaryota; Viridiplantae; Streptophyta; Magnoliopsida; Asterales; Asteraceae. The record is from RNAcentral.
UUCAAUUUGUAAAGGUAACAUUGAAGAAAACUAUUCCACUUUACAACUAAAUGCUGGCUUCAUAUCUUAAAGAUCUCUUGUAUUUCAACAAAAAGCGAUCAGUUUUAUCGUCACAGUUCUCCAAAAUUUCAAGGCAUUCAUUGCCAUUUCCAUAACUCCUAGUAUCAGGCAUGCCUUCAGGAUACAAAUUAGCUAAAUCCAUACAAGAACAGCCCGAACCCUCAGCAAAAACUGAAGGCCUUGGUUUCUCUUUUCCAACUCUGUAGUAUUUUAAAAGAUAGCGAAGAGGCUUUCUUCCUAUGUCAUUUUCUUGACAACAGCUGUCACUAAGACUAUUAUCCGAAGUAGAACCAGAAUUACAAGCCUUCAAGCCUUCCGAUGAUCUUUACAGCCAGAACGCCUUCUAGUAUAGCACAUCAACGGUGCAUUCAAAGAAGCUGAACUCUUCAAGCAACCCAUUCUGUAUCUUCUAGUAUAGCAAAUCAACGGUACAUCCAAACUACUCGAAUCCCUCAAAACAAUCUUCUUACUGUCACGCCUUCUCGAAUAACACGCUAUCGGCACAUCAAGUUCAUCAUCAGCAUCAGUUCAUUGUUCCAGAUUCCCCAUAAUUAUCAAAAUUAAAACCAUAAAUGUAACCCAAAUCGCCACAAUUGUAACCUCCACCCUACAAUUCAAGAUUUUUUUAAAACUCAAAUUCACCACACCCACAAAUUUGAAACCCAAAUUAAACCCAACUCUCGUUCAUAGAUCACGGCUCACUUCUUGAACGAAGACUCGGUGCGUGCAAUUAAGUAUCGC